Long non-coding RNA from Esox lucius (northern pike), 1260 nucleotides. RefSeq lists it as uncharacterized. Lineage: Eukaryota; Metazoa; Chordata; Actinopteri; Esociformes; Esocidae. The transcript has 4 exons. The record is from RefSeq and is a predicted model, not a curated record.
CCAGAUGUUUUUCCUGUGAUGUGUGGCAGUAUAUGGUUUGUCUCUCUGUUAGUUGUUUUCUGUUUGAGGAAGAACAUUAAAAGGAAUGAUUCCCUUAUCCUUUGUCCUACCUCCCGCACCGUGACAGCAUUAGCUUGCUAUGUUCUGUUCCAGAAUCUCCUGUUAUACUUCAGAAUCAUUGUUCCCUUAAUAAUGUGCAGCUGCAGAUCUUGACAUUCCCACUACUACGCUUGACUGUUGGGAUGAAGUUCUUUGAUACUAGGCAGUGUUGUUUGCACCAAAAAUAGAUUUUUAUUUUGUGACCAAAAAGCAUUUUUAUGUACUGGAUUUUCCAAUAUUUCAACACUGCUCGGGCAAAUUUCCUGAACUACUGAACUAUGAACCAAUCCUGCUGGCCCUUAGCUUCCAGGAAACAUCCCACUGCUCUCUUGACUCUCCCAAUACCCACUCUGCUCCAACAAGUUCCAAAAAGGAGACAAGAACUGAGGAGCACACAGCUAAGAGCCCACCGGUGUGUGGGCAUGUACUCUCCUGUGUGUGUUUCAGUGUGGGUGGGUUGUUGCAUGAGCAUAGGAGAAACAUUACUUCAGAAUCCGUUAUCAUCUUAGCCUAUACUGUAAAAUAAUGAUGGGCAACAAAAUAACUAGAGACAAUUUAAAAAAGUAGCUUGUAGUCUCGCUAGUUUUUUUUGCAAGCUAAGCAUUAUUGUUAUCGCCAGUUGGGUUUCCGCCUACUUUAAAAAUACUUUAAUAGCUGAAUUGACAAACAACUUCAAUGUUGUCUGUAUACAGUGCAGUUAUUUUACUUGGUGCCUUGAUCAGGAGCACCUCGGUAGGAGAUGUUAAAACUAUGGCAUCAGAGACCAGCAGUCUUCUACCUCUAGAUGGGUUACUAAUAGACACCAGCCAUUAUUAUGAAAAUCUGUCGUCCGGGGAUGGGGAUGUAGGGUCGAGGGGGAUUAAAGAGCCUUGACACCCGAGCCUUAGUAAAAGAGCUCCUGUACUUAUUUCUAGCACUGUCUGCUUCUAUGUAAACACAACCUCACAUGAAAUUGCGAGCUGCUGUUGGUGUGAGAUGAGAAAUCUAGCACUGUGAAAACCAAGAGCUUUGAAACACCAAAACUAGUAUCAACUCAUCUGCCACCAAGUAUUGAAACAAAACAUUCUGGGAUUGUUUUUAAAUGUAUGAUGUAAAACCACCUAAUACAGAAUGAAUGACAAACGAAUGUCAUUUUUAAAUAAAUAAACCUCAGAAACAGUU